Molecule: non-coding RNA, 758 nt
Organism: Nothobranchius furzeri (turquoise killifish)
Lineage: Eukaryota; Metazoa; Chordata; Actinopteri; Cyprinodontiformes; Nothobranchiidae
Source: RefSeq, a predicted model, not a curated record
UGUCUCAAUUCAGGGUCUGCAUCCUACCUCGGCCGGAUUCGUCGGCCGGUUACGUCACAGCGCCGCGACUCGGCCUGUCCCAAUUCGAAGACUCCUUCAAAUGCGGUCGACGAAUGCGGCCUUCUUUUCGCCUGAAUGAAGGAUGGGUCGGGUGUAUCCUUCAAUAGGUAGCAUUUCCCAAGAUGCCUUGCGGGCCGGCCGGCAGAAAAACUUAAAAACAAUGGCGGACAGUGAAGCGGGAGCUGUCGGAGAGGAUUGCGCAUAUAAAUGUAAGUAUAAACUUGAAAACUGUCAGUUUAAGGACUUUUUGUGAUACAUGAACGUUAUUUUAGUUAGAAAUGUUACAGUAAAAGUGCUUGUAUUGCGGUCUCGGCUCGUAUGUUCGGCCGCGCUCGGUGUCGUACUUCUCCCACUACGUUUCCCCCUGAUUUUAAUAGAAGUUUGUAUUUUAGGACCAAAAGAGAAAACCAGGGAAUUUAUUAAGCUUAGGGCGGAGAUGGACCACAUGAUCACCGGAGCAAAGUAUUCGGCGGCUGUGGCAUGGAGACUAUUCUGGAGAAAAUGGGCAUCCAGGGGAAGGUGCCAGCGAUGAGCUUCUGGAGCUGAUCUGGGAGGACAUGAGGCUGCAGAGCAGCAGAGAGCACAGGAGAGAAGGAAGAACUUUGACAGCUUUUUACUUUGCUAGAAAAAAAUGGUUAAUGAAGAUUAAACAUGUACAUGUAAAAGAAAUAUCUAAAUAAAAUCAGUUCUGCAUUAAA